AGCUUGUUGGCGGGGUCACGGCCCACCAAGGCGAUGACGGGUAGCUGGUCUGAGAGGAUGGUCAGCCGCACUGGGACUGAGACACUGCCCAGACUCCUACGGGAGGCUGCAGUCGAGGAUCUUCCGCAAUGGGCGAAAGCCUGACGGAGCAAUGCCGCGUGCGGGAUGAAGGCCCUCGGGUCGUAAACCGCUGUCACCGGGGACGAACCAAUGACGGUACUCGGAGAGGAAGCCACGGCUAACUACGUGCCAGCAGCCGCGGUAAUACGUAGGUGGCGAGCGUUGUUCGGAAUUACUGGGCGUAAAGGGUUCGUAGGGGGCUUGGAAAGUCUGGCGUGAAAUCCGGCGGCUAAACCGCCGAACUGCGCUGGAAACUUCCAGGCUAGAGCGUCGGAGAGGAGAGUGGAAUUCCUGGUGUAGCGGUGGAAUGCGUGGAUAUCAGGAAGAACACCGAAGGCGAAGGCAGCUCUCUGGACGACCGCUGACCCUGAGGAACGAAAGCGUGGGUAGCAAACAGGAUUAGAUACCCUGGUAGUCCACGCCGUAAACGUUGCGCGCUUGGCCUGGGGGGACUUUACCCCCUCCGGGCCGCAGCUAACGCGUUAAGCGCGCCGCCUGGGGACUACGGCCGCAAGGCUAAAACUCAAAGGAAUUGACGGGGGCCCGCACAAGCGGUGGAGCAUGUGGCUUAAUUCGAGGCAACGCGAAGAACCUUACCUGGGCUCGAAGCGCGGGGAUCAACCUGGUGAAAGCCGGGGGCCUCCCGCAAGGGGUGACCCGCGUAGGUGCUGCAUGGCUGUCGUCAGCUCGUGCCGUGAGGUGUUCGGUUAAGUCCGGCAACGAGCGCAACCCGCGUCGUCAGUUGCCACCGGGUAAUGCCGGGCACUCUGGCGAGACUGCCCGUGUCAUGCGGGAGGAAGGCGCGGAUGAUGUCAAGUCCGUAUGGCCCUUAUGUCCAGGGCUGCACACGUGCUACAAUGGCCGGCACAGAGGGACGCGAGGCCGCGAGGCGGAGCAAAUCCUGAAAACCGGCCCCAGUUCAGAUCGCAGUCUGCAACUCGACUGCGUGAAGUCGGAAUCGCUAGUAAAGGCGUAUCAGCAACGGCGCCUUGAAUACGUUCCCGGGCCUUGUACACACCGCCCGUCACAUCAUGGGAGCCUGUUGCACCCGAAGCCGCCGAGCCAACCGAAAGGGGGCAGGCGUCUAAGGUGUGGCCGGUGACUGGGAUGAAGUCGUAACAUGGUAGCCGUGGGGGAACCUGCGGCUG
Molecule: ribosomal RNA, 1268 nt
Filed under: metagenome
Description: bacterial SSU rRNA
Rfam family: Bacterial small subunit ribosomal RNA
Source: RNAcentral